UACGUAGGGGGCCAGCGUUGCUCGGAAUUACUGGGCGUAAAGGGUCCGUAGGCGGUGUGGCAAGUCGGGAGUGAAAUCUCUGGGCUUAACCCAGAAGCUGCUUCCGAAACUGCCGUGCUAGAGUGUGAGAGAGGCGAGUGGAAUUGCGGGUGUAGCGGUGAAAUGCGUAGAUAUCCGCAGGAACAUCCGAGGCGAAAGCGGCUCGCUGGAUCACAACUGACGCUGAGGGACGAAAGCUAGGGGAGCAAACAG
This 252-nucleotide ribosomal RNA is filed under the name uncultured bacterium. RNAcentral describes it as "partial 16S ribosomal RNA". It matches the Rfam family "Bacterial small subunit ribosomal RNA", at positions 524 to 775 of the family's 1533-position model. The record is from RNAcentral.